AGAAGAAGAAGAAGAAGAAAAGAACUCUACAAGAUAAAGGGAUUUCAAAAAAAAAAACAGAAACUAGGGUCAAAUACAGUUCAAUUGAACCGAAUUCCUCAUUUUGGAUGAUUUUCAAGCAGACCACAAAGCUACUAGUAGAAAAGGCACAUAGAAUUGCUAAUCAGAAAAAUGCACAGUGAGGUGUACCUAUCCAAAAUGCAAUUUUAGUCUACUUUUAUUCAACUGAUUAUGCAAUUCAAUUCAUAUGUUUAAUAACAAUAUAUUUUAUGAUGACACAUUCAGUUAAAUUUACUGAAUGAAGGGGAGAACAAAAAGAAGAAGAAGAAGAAG
This 333-nucleotide unclassified non-coding RNA is filed under the name Hevea brasiliensis (rubber tree). Lineage: Eukaryota; Viridiplantae; Streptophyta; Magnoliopsida; Malpighiales; Euphorbiaceae. The record is from RNAcentral.